This 733-nucleotide ribosomal RNA is filed under the name Carnobacterium divergens. RNAcentral describes it as "bacterial SSU rRNA". It matches the Rfam family "Bacterial small subunit ribosomal RNA", at positions 24 to 734 of the family's 1533-position model. The record is from RNAcentral. Lineage: Bacteria; Bacillati; Bacillota; Bacilli; Lactobacillales; Carnobacteriaceae.
UCAGGACGAACGCUGGCGGCAUGCCUAAUACAUGCAAGUCGAACGCACGAAGUUGAAAAGCUUGCUUUUCGACCAAGUGAGUGGCGGACGGGUGAGUAACACGUGGGUAACCUGCCCAUAAGAGGGGGAUAACAUUCGGAAACGGAUGCUAAUACCGCAUAUUUCAAGUGACCGCAUGGUCGCUUGAUGAAAGGUGGCUUCGGCUACCACUUAUGGAUGGACCCGCGGUGCAUUAGUUAGUUGGUGAGGUAAUGGCUCACCAAGACCAUGAUGCAUAGCCGACCUGAGAGGGUGAUCGGCCACACUGGGACUGAGACACGGCCCAGACUCCUACGGGAGGCAGCAGUAGGGAAUCUUCCGCAAUGGACGAAAGUCUGACGGAGCAAUGCCGCGUGAGUGAAGAAGGUUUUCGGAUCGUAAAACUCUGUUGUUAGAGAAGAACAAGGAUGAGAGUAACUGCUCAUCCCCUGACGGUAUCUAACCAGAAAGCCACGGCUAACUACGUGCCAGCAGCCGCGGUAAUACGUAGGUGGCAAGCGUUGUCCGGAUUUAUUGGGCGUAAAGCGAGCGCAGGCGGUUCUUUAAGUCUGAUGUGAAAGCCCCCGGCUCAACCGGGGAGGGUCAUUGGAAACUGGAGAACUUGAGUGCAGAAGAGGAGAGUGGAAUUCCAUGUGUAGCGGUGAAAUGCGUAGAUAUAUGGAGGAACACCAGUGGCGAAGGCGACUCUCUGGUC